UCAUCCAAGAUGGCGGCGCCCAUGAAAGGAAGUAGGCGAAUCCCAUCCUCACUAUGACCCCAAAACGAAUGCUUCGAUUGUGAGGAAAAGACCUUUUAGAGGUUGACCUGCAACCUCAGGUUUUCCCAGGUUGGUUCAGCCAAUGACAUAGAUUGACUGUGAUAACCAUGUCCGGGGAAAUUUUUCAACCAAUGGAAAGCCUUGAAGAUACCGACGUGGCCAAAAGGAACCCCCUGCUGUGCUACCUGUGCAAUGAACAAUAUGAUGACCCCUGUAUACUCUCGUGCUUCCACAGCUUCUGUAUGCGCUGUUUGCGGGGCCGAGCAGCGGACUCACAGAUGCUGUGUCCUCUUUGUGGGGCAACCACACCUUUAAAAGAAGGAAACUCAUUACCUCCUCCUGAUCCCCUGCUGAAGUUCAUGGUCGAAUCAUCCCUGGACGAGAAAGCAUCAUGUGCCAACUGUGAUAAAGACUGUAACCCCAUGUAUUUCUGCAACACCUGCUGCCAGCCCCUGUGUACUGGCUGUAGAGAUGAAACCCACCGCGCCAAGAUGUUCGCUGCUCACGACAUUGUUGUCUUAUCCAAGAGAACAAAAGAAAUACACAAGCGCUGCUCGCUGCACAAGGAGCCGUACAUCAUGUUCUCCAUAGAGAAGAAAAUCAUGCUGUGCAUCAACUGCUUCAGGGACAUGCGGAUUGAGAGUCGGACGCACUGCGUGGACCUAGAGACCGCUUACAACCAAAGUUGUCGCAAGCUUGAGCAGAGUGUUCAAGCUGUACGGGAUCUACAGAACUCUGUGAGAGAUGGAAUCUUGCUGCUACGAGCACUGCUUGAGGAGAUCAAACAGAAUGCAAGGAAGGAAAGUGAAGCAGUUUCUUCCCUCUAUGACUCCAUGCAGGAGAAGAUCAAACUGACCAUGGAGACGCUCCUUGAGGAGUCCAACAGCCAGUACAAGGCGAAAGAGUCCUCGUUCAAGGCACAGCUGACUGGCCUGACCACCCUCCUACCCACCAUCCAUGUCCAUCUUGUGACAUCAGCAGCAUUCGCCAGCUCUGCCAAUAAGUUUGAGUUUCUAGAUAUGUCCUAUGCCAUGAUGGAGAGACUCAAGGCCAUCGUCCACUGUCAGCAUCCCCUCCACCCAACACAAGGCAGCCAGAUAGACACAGACUUCAAGAACAAAUUUGCCAAGAGCUUGGAGCCCCUGUUGUAUGAUGGCCCCGGGAAAGUGUUUCUGGCGUCUAGCCCUGUCCUACAACGAUCCACAGGAGUGCCUUCCUCACCCAGUUUCAACAGGAUUGAGGUGCCCAAGUUAGCUAAUCAGGCAGCAGCUGCAGGAAACACCCCUGUCAAGGCACCACAGAACAAUGGUCGCCGUAAUGGCAUCGGCAAAGUCAAGUUUAUUGAUGCCAAGGGUGUCUUUGCAGAACAUUGUGUAGAGUUUGAAACUUCUCAUCGGGAUGUGCUGCAGAAGCUCGAGAAACUCAAGUCUCAGGUGCAGGAGCUGCAGAGAGAUCUGACCCUGAGGCGAUGUCUGGCGCGGCGGUCGGCGGUGGAGGAGCUAAAGAGUGUCAUUGAUGGUGUCGAGUGUCAGCUUGAGAAGCACUACGGCUACAUAGAGGAAAAACAGCCAACACUCGAGAAGCACUGGGAGGAGAGUGUCCAAAGGAUAGCCAAUGAACAAGAGCUGUACCAGGCUCAGUGCCAGGAUGUUGUGAGACUCCAGCUGGAGACAAAGCACCUGAAGGUCAUCACAGCCCAGCUGACCUCCUACAUCUCAUCCAUAGCCUCCGUCACAGAGAGACUCGCACCCAAGCUUGGCCAGUCUACGAAUGACACGGAGCAUGACAAUCAGAUGCAUGCAUUGUUGGACGAGAUCAACGCUGUGCACCCAGACUCCCAACAGAGAGUUGAUGCCAUUCAGACAGCUGAAGACAUCCGGCAGGUAAACACAGCCAAUCGGAAGAACCCUCUGGAUGAUGAGCUGAUCAAAACCAAGGGACUGCUUCGGGCGCCCUCCCUCCGCAGAGACAGUUCUACCAAGAAAGAUGCCUCCACGACACAAACUGUGCAAGGAAAAGAUACAGCGGAAGAGGACAAGGAAAAUAUCCGGUUAGAGAAUGUGCAGCCAGUUAAGUUAACUCCAACUUGACUCCUCGAGGAGGACAACAGUAUGGCCACCAAGAAGAACGACCAAGAUAAGCAAUGAAGCUUUGUGGUAGUACUCCACACAGGCUUCAGAUGUUACGAGAUAUUUUAGGCACUUUUGUAUCUGAAGGUUGACUUACUGGUGGUGCAAUAUAUUAUUAAUAAAAUUAAGUAAGGAAGAGCACUUUUAGUGGCUCUUUUGACAGUACUUGUUUGAAUAACAAAAUCUGCCAUUUUGCCAUUUUUCCAUCACUACUGAAGUCUUUCAUGAGAUAUUACAUUAAUUUCAUUCCUAUCAACUGCCAUUAUCCCGUGGUGGUGAAGUUGUUUCCACGUUUAAACAGUGAUGUAAUAACUCCAUCAAUUCACUGUAACUUGCAGCUAUACCAUCCUUGGUGUGGCCACACGAAUGUAGCGUACUUGGUGUGGCCUCAUGAAGGUAGUGUACGUGAUGUGGUCUCAUGAAGGUAGCGUACUUGGUGUGGUCUCAUGAAAGACCAUCCUUGGUGUGAUAACACUGAGGUACCAUCCUUGGUGCGGCCUCACUCACUAUAUAGUAACACUAAAAUCGAUUGAAAAUAGUGCUGAGUGGCAUAAUCAGUCUAGUAGGCUCAACAGUUCUGGGCACAGACUAUAACUGCCUUACUGUCCAAAGCUGUGCUAAGUCAAACUCACAUAUCCUCUCAUUCAAUGACCAUCACAUCAAUAUACAGAUUUGUUUUCACCGUAUCAUGUUACACACCAGCAUAUCUGUGAUUCUUCACCAGAGGCUACUGACUGUCACUGGCUUUCAAUGAAUUAGAUAAUCUACAGUGAUGUUGUAAAGUAAUGCUGAUAUAUACAUUACACCAAGUAAAUGAAUAUUUACAUGAUUACUUGUUUAGAAUUAAAACAUUUUAAUGUCUUUUAUUUAUUGGUAACUUAAUAUACUCAUUAACAUUUAUUAAUGUGAUAGAGAAUGACCAUUGUCUCAGGUACAUCUCCUCUUUACAGAUGAGUCUCUCUCAAUUUACUUUGUGCUCCACUUUCUGAUUCCGUUUCUGAACUGUAACGAAUUUGUUGACAAUGUCUAUGCAAAGCCGCCAUCGUGCUGGGUCUGUUUCAUGUUAAUGUUUGCUGACACACCCACAGUUGAUCUUCCAUUCACAUAUGACACGUUCCCACGAUUAGUGCCUCACUUUGACAUAAAUGAAGAUCUUGAUGUCAUGAAUUAUUGGCAAUGUGAAUAUCAUGCUUUUGUAGGUGUUUCCUGUCAUCCAUUGUGUUCCUGAAUAUUGCUGAUGGGUGGGAGGGGGGGUGAACAUGUUCAACCAGUGUACAAGAAAGACUGGCAACUCUACUCCGAUGUAUAUGUCCAUUCAUUAUUUUUAUUACCCUCCCAAAGUGAUUACCGGUAUCCAUUCUUCACCUAAAAAAUACCCAAAGCACAUUGUUUUACUGAUAAUAACACAGCUUAUCAAUAGGCUAACUAUGAAACUAUAGUUAUAGUCCAUUAUGAUCAUGUUAUGUUUUGGGGUGACUUUCCCUGUGCAACUCUGAAAUGUUUCAACAGGUAGAAAAAUACUAUCACCCUGACUGGGGCUGGGAGUGGCAGUGGGUGGGGGAACUCUCAGCCUCACUGGGGGUGGGAGUGGCGGUGGGUGGAGUAACUCUCACCCUGACUGGGGCUGGGAGUGGCAGUGGGUGGAGUAACUUUCUGCCUCACUGGGGCCGGGAGUGGCGGUGGGUGGGCUAACUCUCACCCUGACUGGGGGUGGGAGUGGCGGUGGGUGGAGUAACUUUCAGCCUCACUGGGGGUGGGAGUGGCAGUGGGUGGAGUAACUCUCACCCUGACUGGGGGUGGGAGUGGCAGUGGGUGGAGUAACUCUCACCCUGACUGGGGGUGGGAGUGGCAGUAGGUGGAGUAACUCUCAGCCUCACUGGGGGUGGGAGUGGCGGUGGGUGGAGUAACUCUCAUCCUCACUGGGGAUGGGGUAACUCUCACCCUGACUGGGGGUGGGAG
RNAcentral lists this unclassified non-coding RNA (4148 nucleotides) under Haliotis rufescens (red abalone). RNAcentral describes it as "rING finger protein 207-like, transcript variant X9". Lineage: Eukaryota; Metazoa; Mollusca; Gastropoda; Lepetellida; Haliotidae. The record is from RNAcentral.